GAUGAACGCUGGCGGCGUGCCUAAUACAUGCAAGUCGAGCGAACGGACGAGAAGCUUGCUUCUCUGACGUUAGCGGCGGACGGGUGAGUAACACGUGGAUAACCUACCUAUAAGACUGGGAUAACUUCGGGAAACCGGAGCUAAUACCGGAUAAUAUUUUGAACCGCAUGGUUCAAAAGUGAAAGACGGUUUUGCUGUCACUUAUAGAUGGAUCCGCGCUGCAUUAGCUAGUUGGUAAGGUAACGGCUUACCAAGGCCACGAUGCAUAGCCGACCUGAGAGGGUGAUCGGCCACACUGGAACUGAGACACGGUCCAGACUCCUACGGGAGGCAGCAGUAGGGAAUCUUCCGCAAUGGGCGAAAGCCUGACGGAGCAACGCCGCGUGAGUGAUGAAGGUCUUCGGAUCGUAAAACUCUGUUAUUAGGGAAGAACAUAUGUGUAAGUAACUGUGCACAUCUUGACGGUACCUAAUCAGAAAGCCACGGCUAACUACGUG
RNAcentral lists this ribosomal RNA (497 nucleotides) under uncultured bacterium. RNAcentral describes it as "partial 16S ribosomal RNA". It matches the Rfam family "Bacterial small subunit ribosomal RNA", at positions 28 to 507 of the family's 1533-position model. The record is from RNAcentral.